Molecule: transfer RNA, 76 nt
Filed under: Pedobacter africanus
Lineage: Bacteria; Pseudomonadati; Bacteroidota; Sphingobacteriia; Sphingobacteriales; Sphingobacteriaceae
Description: tRNA_Gly_GCC
Rfam family: tRNA
About the family: Transfer RNA (tRNA) molecules are approximately 80 nucleotides in length.
Source: RNAcentral
GCGAAAAUAGCUCAGUUGGUAGAGCACGACCUUGCCAAGGUCGGGGUCGCGAGUUCGAAUCUCGUUUUUCGCUCUA